UUGACCUCAAAUCAGGNAGGAUUACCCGCUGAACUUAAGCAUAUCAAUAAGCGGAGGAAA
This 60-nucleotide ribosomal RNA is filed under the name uncultured Debaryomyces. RNAcentral describes it as "partial 28S ribosomal RNA". It matches the Rfam family "Eukaryotic large subunit ribosomal RNA", at positions 1 to 59 of the family's 3401-position model. The record is from RNAcentral. Lineage: Eukaryota; Fungi; Ascomycota; Saccharomycetes; Saccharomycetales; Saccharomycetaceae.